CACGUAGGCGGACUGGAAAGUCAGAGGUGAAAUCCCAGGGCUCAACCUUGGAACUGCCUUUGAAACUCCCAGUCUUGAGGUCGAGAGAGGUGAGUGGAAUUCCGAGUGUAGAGGUGAAAUUCGUAGAUAUUCGGAGGAACACCAGUGGCGAAGGCGGCUCACUGGCUCGAUACUGACGCUGAGGUGCGAAAGCGUGGGUAGCAAACA
RNAcentral lists this ribosomal RNA (207 nucleotides) under uncultured bacterium. Its description in RNAcentral is "partial 16S ribosomal RNA". It matches the Rfam family "Bacterial small subunit ribosomal RNA", at positions 568 to 774 of the family's 1533-position model. The record is from RNAcentral.